RNAcentral lists this ribosomal RNA (354 nucleotides) under uncultured bacterium. Its description in RNAcentral is "bacterial SSU rRNA". It matches the Rfam family "Bacterial small subunit ribosomal RNA", at positions 29 to 369 of the family's 1533-position model. The record is from RNAcentral.
AACGAACGCUGGCGGCGUGCCUAAGACAUGCAAGUCGUGCGAGAAAGGGACUUCGGUCCUGAGUACAGCGGCGCACGGGUGAGUAACGCGUGGGUAACCUACCUCGAAGUUUAGAAUAACCCGGGGAAACCUGAGCUAAUACCGGAUGAGCCACGAGGCCUUCGGUCAUGUGGGAAAGAUGGCCUCUGCUUGCAAGCUAUCGCUACGAGAUGAGCCCGCGUCCCAUUAGCUAGUUGGUGAGGUAACGGCUCACCAAGGCGACGAUGGGUAGCUGGUCUGAGAGGACGAUCAGCCACACUGGAACUGAGACACGGUCCAGACUCCUACGGGAGGCAGCAGUCGGGAAUAUUGGGC